This 501-nucleotide long non-coding RNA is filed under the name Helianthus annuus (common sunflower). Its description in RNAcentral is "sRNA HanXRQr2_Chr04g0151971". Lineage: Eukaryota; Viridiplantae; Streptophyta; Magnoliopsida; Asterales; Asteraceae. The record is from RNAcentral.
UAUGAUUUCGUUACAUCUUGAAAGAUCGACAAACAGUUUUCUGGCGAAGUGAAGGCUUUACAGGAGAUCACAUUCACAGUACAGGGUGGUUUAUCGAUUUCCAGCAACAAGAGAAAAAAAUGGAGGCGCUGGCAUGCUCUGGCAGUGGCGUCAGUGCCAGUGUUUUCUAGAUAAAUUUGGUGAGUAGACAUGAAAUCAUGGUCGGAUCAAGCAACGGCAGUGACAUAAAAACCUGAUUUUUCCAGAAGUUCGACUUUGCGAACGGUGUCGGCGGUAGUCGCGUGUCUGCGCGAAGACGACAGCAGGUCACCGGUGACGUUGAGUCGCAUUACGACGGUAAUUGAAUGGAGUCCCGGAAAAACUGUGAUGGCGGUGUUUCCGGUGUGUGGACGACGUGUGGUGGCAUACGGUGUCACGGUGAUACGGAGACCGUGACGGUUAGUAGUUCGGUUGUGUUGUGGUAGUGACGGGCGGUGCUUUUGUUGUGGCGGGCCGGUAACG